Long non-coding RNA from Amphiprion ocellaris (clown anemonefish), 744 nucleotides. RefSeq lists it as uncharacterized. The transcript has 2 exons. NCBI's taxonomy places the organism in Eukaryota, Metazoa, Chordata, Actinopteri, Pomacentridae. The record is from RefSeq and is a predicted model, not a curated record.
GCGACAGGUAUGUCGGCUCCUGUGGUGCUCUGGUAGGGUUUCUUGCUGUUGUGCUAAGGGCAUUUGUUUUUGUGCCCUAGAGCGACUGGUGUUCCCAUUUGGUGUGCCGCGAGUUCGUGUGUGUGUGUGCGUCCCCCGCUCCUGGCUGCAUUGUCAGUGUUCCAGGAGUUGACACAGAGCCAGUAGGAAACACCAUCCUCCUCUCCCCAGCCCAGGAUCUUGAUGACAUGUCUACCCACAGCAGAGCCUGAAACGUGUUGAUACACACCUGGAGACAGGAAGAGGACACAGGAAACACAAGUGGGAACCACGAGGUCCCAAGCAACACUCUACACAAUCACUGAGCAGAAUAUGCAGUUAGGGUUCACCCUGUACUCAAUAUUCAGUGUAAUGCGUGUUUGCAUUACAUCUCUUACUGGUGCAUGUGUUCUUGCCAGACUUGCACAAUACAAAGUCUUCAUAGACUUUAAAUGCUCCCUCUACUGGGUUGUUCUUGUAUAUCUCAGUCUGAAUCUGGAUCACAUUUGAUAAUGUGAUAAUGCCCGAGGGCCAACCAUCCUGUCUCACAUUCUUUGAACCAUUAAACCUGUCAAAGAUCAUAGAGGUAUGAGAUCCCCGAGUCAGCCAUAGGUGUGGGGUUCUGGCAGAAUAACAGCAAAAUAAGGGAACACAGUAUGAUAUUAUAACCUGUGAUUUAUGAUUGAUUCAUGCUAUAACAUAAUAAAUGUGUUUAAACUAACCAAA